GGGUCAUGUGAUUACUAAUCAGCUAAUCACAACCGUUUUGAGAGCAGGGGAUACGUGGGAACUACAACCUCCUCCAUCCGUGCAGUCAGAAAUCUUUCGUAUGCCAUUCAAAGUGCUUUGGUUGUCAAGCCAUAUUCUGUCACAAAAAGCACGAAAAACAGCCGAAAGCCACCAAUUGCAGACUUCUAUGAAGAAAUGACGAAAGUGGAAUCACUGAAUCCCUUGCGUACACUUCACAAUGCGAUACCACUGAGGGAAAUGGACAGCUACUUCGACAAAGCCACUGGUCAGAACUUUGAAGCUCUUGUUACACCAGUCGGUACUCCCUCGAGGAAGGCUUCGUCGAAGAAACUUGCUGCCAAAUCUUCAAAUCCUACACAGUUGCUGGCGAAGAUGUCCAGUGUAGCUAGCGAGGUCGUCGAAGGAGUCGAGGAGUUGCUCAAUGAAAAAUUUGAAGAACCAGAUUCUUGAUAUUUCAGGGUUCUCUUUCCGAUGAAAAUGACUGAAAAGCAGAUUUUGUUAAUGUUAUAAUUUGACUGGCGGAGUGCAUUUUAUGUGCAAUAAGUUGUUAGCUUUUAAAAAGUAACCGAAAUAUUUCGAGCUCUUUGAUAAGCCAAACACGUAUCAUUUAUUGAAACGGUAAAUCCAUAGAUAUUUUAUUAAAGAAAUAGACCGUACUUUCUAUCGGUUACCCAGCGAAAUAACACGAGAAAAAUUUGUAACCUACGGUCUGCAGGCGAUUGACUUACAAACUUUUCUCGUGUCCAACCAAUAUCCCUUGUGGUUUAACUCGCCGGUAUGCCGAUAGACAAAAAUGCUAAAUGAGAAUACCUAAAAUAGUUUUGGGAAUGUUCACAUCCACAAGAAAAAUAAUUAAAUCAUAUUUUGACCUGUCAAUGAUAACGAGUAGCGAACUGAUCCUCACCGCUAAAUUGCAAUUAAAAAAAACCUUGCCUCCCAAAUAUAGCUUCAUUUUACUGGAGCGAGGCAUGAGAGACGAGGAAGCCAUUAGAAUGUUCUUCGUUUUUAUCUAGGCGUCAUCUCUGGAAUUUCUUCCUUUAGGGCUCUCCUGUGAGAAUCACUUCAUUAUUUAAUGUUUGUUGUGUCAACUUAUGAUGAACAUCAUUUAAGAUCAGAAGAUACCAGCCAAACACAAAUUAACAACUGUUAGUUGAAUCCUACUUAGCUGAUUGGUGUCUUCUUGUUGGCACAGCAAAAUUUCAGAAAUACUUGCGGUGUUUUCCGUUUCCAGAGUUUCGCUGUAACUUAUUUAUGAACGUUUAAAUUGUGACCUUUUUCUAUUGCCCAGUUAGUUUUUCUACACUUGAAGUGUAGUUCAAGUAACUCAUUUUUAUUCUAUGCAGCUAAUUAAUCUAAACAACAAGUGUAGUUACAAGUUACCGAUUUGUUGAUGUUGCCGCAAGAUAUUUAUAAUUAAAAAGUACUCACAUUAUUUAAAACUAGAAAACGGA
Pocillopora damicornis (cauliflower coral) is the source of this 1472-nucleotide long non-coding RNA. NCBI's taxonomy places the organism in Eukaryota, Metazoa, Cnidaria, Anthozoa, Scleractinia, Pocilloporidae. The record is from RefSeq and is a predicted model, not a curated record.